This is a long non-coding RNA of Pistacia vera, 256 nucleotides long. RefSeq lists it as uncharacterized. The record is from RefSeq and is a predicted model, not a curated record. The transcript is spliced from 4 exons. NCBI's taxonomy places the organism in Eukaryota, Viridiplantae, Streptophyta, Magnoliopsida, Sapindales, Anacardiaceae.
UGUCCCUGAGGAGUUUGGAAAUUUGGUCAACUUAACUACCCUGGAACUUUCCUCCAAUUAUUUUUCUGGAAGGUUGCCUAUAAAACUAGCAAAACUGAAGAACAUGAAGAAGUUUAGAAUAAGUGAUAAUAGCUUUACUGGCACUGUACCAGAAUUUAUUGGGGGAUGGACUAAUCUUGAAAUGCUGGAAAUGUAUUCAAGUGGACUAGAAGGACCCAUCCCUGCUGCAAUUUUCAGUCUGGGAAGUUUGAAUGAC